RNAcentral lists this long non-coding RNA (1362 nucleotides) under Gossypium barbadense (sea-island cotton). RNAcentral's name for it is "long non-coding RNA (GBAR_LNC013154)". The record is from RNAcentral. Lineage: Eukaryota; Viridiplantae; Streptophyta; Magnoliopsida; Malvales; Malvaceae.
AAGUUUUGGAAGCAAUAACUCAAGCAAUGACUGUAAUGCCCCAAUUUUUACCCGGCCCAUAAUAAACCAAUAAAAGUCCAGUUUUUUUUUUUUUUACAAACCCAAUUAAUAAACCCAAAUUACAUCAGCCAAGCGAGGCUCCUCCCCGUGCACACAUCGGCCUCCCCCACGUGUGUCUCGCCUCCAGCUGUACCUGUAGCAACAAACAACCAACGACAACAGCAAAAUAAAGGGAAAAACGACUAGUCUAUUAACUUGGUAACACUUAAAUUAGUUUAAUUAAAACCGACGACUAGUCUUUUAAUAUUAGUGAAAUUAUAGAUUAAGUCUAUGUUCUCCAAUUUGAUCAUUCUUAAUCCUUAUAUUUUUUGGAAAUUUGAAAUCCUAAUCUUAAUGCAACAUUAACUGACUUGUUUUUAAUAAUAUGAAGAAAUAGCAAUCUGUCAUGAUAUUACACAUGUUAUACUAUAUUUGCUAUAUAAGAUUUUGAAAAUAUUAGUGUAAUAGCCCAUUUUUGCCCGGGCCCAAAAAAAACCAAAAAUAAAUAAAUUAACAGUCCCAGUCCAUUUACAACAAACCCAACAGGCCCAAAACCCUAACGGCCGAAUAUGGCCUAAAAACUAAACGAAAUCAGAGAACCCUAGGGUUCCCUCCUCUCUCUCGCGCCGCAGCCUGCCCCAUGUGCACCCUUGGCGCGCACAACGCCCAAUGAUAACGCCUUCACCAGUGUUGCACCAAAAUGGCAAAGAUUUCUGCCCAUUGACUCCCCAUGACCUGCAAAACAGAUGAAAACAACAACCAAGAGACAAAAACAGUAGAGGCAGCGUAAUAGAAGUAUUUAAAAUAGUGAAAAAUAAAAGAAAAAGAUAUAUUGUAUUUUGUCUUUGGUUAUAUAAGCCCAGAAACAAAACGAUGUAAAAGGGGGGCUUCUUCCUUUUUUACGAACAUUAAUAAAAAAAACAAAAACAAAAAACAGAUCGAAGGUGAUUCUUCUUUACUUUUUUUCAUUCCUUUUUUAUUUUUAUUUUUAUUUUUUUCUACAUACUAAAUAAUAAAAAUACAAGAAGAAGAGGCUUACUAGAGGCACUCGGUGACCGAGCCUAGGGGGCAUUCUCCAUCGUCAGGGGGUCUACGCCACCGUCGGGCCAGAUCCGAAAGGAUGUUGGGGCUCUUCUCUUUCGUUUCGGCGUUGAGAGGGCUCAACCCCUGAGGGCACUGCAAGACAAGGGCCGAAAAGCCCAUUUUCUUUAUCACCAUCCACGGCCAUGACGGUCACGUGACGGACGGACGGUGGAACCCUAGCCGAAUUUUGGGGAGGGGUUGAAGUUUGAGAGAAUUUUGUUUGAUUUUUUUAGAGGAAAG